RNAcentral lists this ribosomal RNA (253 nucleotides) under uncultured bacterium. RNAcentral's name for it is "partial 16S ribosomal RNA". It matches the Rfam family "Bacterial small subunit ribosomal RNA", at positions 524 to 776 of the family's 1533-position model. The record is from RNAcentral.
UACGGAAGGAGCUAGCGUUGUUCGGAAUUACUGGGCGUAAAGCGCGCGUAGGCGGUUUUCCAAGUCAGUGGUGAAAGCCCGGGGCUCAACCCCAGAAUAGCCUUUGAAACUGGAAAACUAGAAUCUUGGAGAGGCCAGUGGAAUUCCGAGUGUAGAGGUGAAAUUCGUAGAUAUUCGGAAGAACACCAGUGGCGAAGGCGACUGACUGGAUAAGUAUUGACGCUGAGGUGCGAAAGCGUGGGGAGCAAACAGG